This 391-nucleotide ribosomal RNA is filed under the name uncultured bacterium. RNAcentral describes it as "bacterial SSU rRNA". It matches the Rfam family "Bacterial small subunit ribosomal RNA", at positions 28 to 417 of the family's 1533-position model. The record is from RNAcentral.
GACGAACGCUGGCGGCGUGCUUAACACAUGCAAGUCGAGCGGUAAGGCCCUUUCGGGGGUACACGAGCGGCGAACGGGUGAGUAACACGUGGGUGACCUGCCCUCAGCUCUGGGAUAAGGCCUGGGAAACCGGGUCUAAUACCGGAUACUGACUCCAUGACGCAUGUUGUGGGGUGAAAGCCUUGUGCGGCUGAGGAUGGGCCCGCGGCCUAUCAGCUUGGUUGGUGGGGUGANGGCCUACCAAGGCGACGACGGGUAGCCGGCCUGAGAGGGCGACCGGCCACACUGGGACUGAGACACGGCCCAGACUCCUACGGGAGGCAGCAGUGGGGAAUCUUGCGCAAGUGGGCGAAAGCCUGACGCAGCGACGCCGCGUGAGGGAUGACGGCCU